Molecule: transfer RNA, 75 nt
Filed under: Klebsiella pneumoniae
Lineage: Bacteria; Pseudomonadati; Pseudomonadota; Gammaproteobacteria; Enterobacterales; Enterobacteriaceae
Description: tRNA-OTHER
Rfam family: tRNA
About the family: Transfer RNA (tRNA) molecules are approximately 80 nucleotides in length. Their secondary structure includes four short double-helical elements and three loops (D, anti-codon, and T loops). Further hydrogen bonds mediate the characteristic L-shaped molecular structure. tRNAs have two regions of fundamental functional importance: the anti-codon, which is responsible for specific mRNA codon recognition, and the 3' end, to which the tRNAs corresponding amino acid is attached (by aminoacyl-tRNA synthetases). tRNAs cope with the degeneracy of the genetic code in two manners: having more than one tRNA (with a specific anti-codon) for a particular amino acid; and 'wobble' base-pairing, i.e. permitting non-standard base-pairing at the 3rd anti-codon position.
Source: RNAcentral
GCGGGCGUAGUUCAAUGGUAGAACGAGAGCUUCCCCAAGCUCUAUACGAGGGUUCGAUUCCCUUCGCCCGCUCCA